UUAUAUGGUCAAGAAGAGAAGCGCAAACGGUGGAUGCCUUGGCAGUAAGAGGCGAAGAAGGACGUGGAAUCCUGCGAAAAGCUAUGGGGAGCUGGAAACGAGCGUUGAGCCAUAGAUGUCCGAAUGGGGGAACCCGGCUGCAGCGAUGCGGUCAUUUGCAUUUGAAUACAUAGGAUGCAAAGGCGAACUCGGGGAACUGAAACAUCUAAGUACCCGAAGGAAAAGAAAUCAAGAGAGAUUCUCCAA
RNAcentral lists this ribosomal RNA (246 nucleotides) under Klebsiella pneumoniae. Its description in RNAcentral is "partial 23S ribosomal RNA". It matches the Rfam family "Bacterial large subunit ribosomal RNA", at positions 1 to 242 of the family's 2925-position model. The record is from RNAcentral. Lineage: Bacteria; Pseudomonadati; Pseudomonadota; Gammaproteobacteria; Enterobacterales; Enterobacteriaceae.